UCAUGCACUAUUUUAAAAGCAUAUAUGCAUUUUGAAAUAUGUGAGAAAAAAUCAUGUAUCAACAACAUCCUUGUGGCAAACUGAGACAAUACAUGUGAUCAUUACAUCUGAAGCAAUAACAUCUGGUCUAGCAGGAAGAGUAUAGAAUUGGGCCUGACCGCCACAUGAUCAUCCUCCCCCUCUUGAGCGGCCCCUACCUGACUGAGCCCCACGCUGGCUGGGCGGGUGGAGUAACCACUGGUACUGGUGCCCUCGGCUGAGAACUGUUGUGGAGCCCUACUCAACAACCUAGGACAAUCUCUCUAGAUGUGACCAAAUUCUCCGCGCUCAAAACAACCCCUUCUCUGACAGAGCUACUACUUCUGAUAACCCGAGGAAAUACCCAUAGAAGCCUAAGCAGACGAUGCAUGGUGAGAACUAUGCGCUUGUAAUACACUGAAUAAAGACUGGUCAGAGUGAGCAAUGUAAGAAUCGUGGCUAGAUGAUGCACCACGAUAAGCUGAGCGACUCGUGUGAGUAGGCCUAUAAGGACGAGCUCUACUAUGGUAGGAUUGAUCCCCUAAAGGAAUACCAUUCAAACCACCCGAUCCACGAGGCCUUUUGGACUCCCUCUCUCUACACUCCUGGCUAAUGACCAUCUCUAUUUGCCGAGCUAUGUCAACUACAACGUCAAAGACCCUCUCUGCAUCAUAAGUAUUUGCAGCUGAUAUGUGAGGCCAUCAAUGAACCCCAUAAUCCUUUCCCUAUCAACAGGAACCAACCAAACUACAUGAUGGGCCAAAUUAGAAAAUCAUAUCUCGUACCGCAUCACAUACAUGCCCUCGUGACAUAACUACUCAAACUCUCUACACAGCUCCUCUCUACGAGACUAUGGCACGAACUUCUCCAAGAAGAGAAUAGGGAAC
This 905-nucleotide long non-coding RNA is filed under the name Nicotiana benthamiana. RNAcentral's name for it is "long non-coding RNA (NBEN_LNC005221)". Lineage: Eukaryota; Viridiplantae; Streptophyta; Magnoliopsida; Solanales; Solanaceae. The record is from RNAcentral.